Molecule: long non-coding RNA, 999 nt
Filed under: Homo sapiens (human)
Lineage: Eukaryota; Metazoa; Chordata; Mammalia; Primates; Hominidae
Description: non-protein coding lnc-PERP-2:8
Source: RNAcentral
CUGAAAUACAGACCGUUCCUGAUUGUGGUUAUGGAGGAGGUGUCUUCAAAAGCAUCAAGGAAAAAAUAUCAAAUAAUUGUAUUUGUUUGACUGAAGACUUAUCUGGAUACAGGAGGGCAAGAAUCUUCUGUUCCAUAUGCAACAUCUUCUGGCAGCCUUGUCCUUUUUCUGUCCUUGACGACUACAAUAACAAACAGCUGUUGCCGAGGCAUUGCUGUUGACGUGUUACCUUUGAAACCUCCCUCCUGUUAUGGAAUAAGCCUCUUCCAGAUCAUGGCUCAUUAUCAUCUAGUCUGACAAGCAGCCUUGUUGCCACGGAGACCCAAAGGGAUCAGGCGUGGCAUUUGCCUGCAUCAUCACCCCCUCCAGGGGAACUAUAAGGACUCUUCUGUGCGUCAUGCGUGGCUGUCCUGGGACUGGCUGCCACCAGACUUUUCCUGCGGGUAAAACCUAAACAAAUGAUCAGCUGCAGAUAAUAUCAAGACCUCUGUUUGAUAUGUUAAUAGUGACAGCCAGAUUUCCACAAUUAACAACGAGGUGGGAAGAAAACACUGUAGUCACCAGACUUGGGAGGAGAGGGUUUGUAUUCACAUAAACACAACCUCACGUCACUGCUUGCCACCACAAAGGGCUCUGUUCACUGUUUUGUUCUCAAAGAUCAUCCUUGCGCUCAUCCUCUGAUCUUGAAUUUCUACAUAACUUUCUCAGUUUAUAUGCCCUGUGGCAAGUGCAGCAAGCACUGUUUCCUGUUUCUAAACUUGUAGAAAAUCAUCCAUACAUCUUACAGUUGUCAGUUUUAACCAGAUAACAGUGGCACUUUGUUGCUGCUUUUUUAUCUUUAGCUUAGGUUAACAGGACCCUGGAAGUAAAGUUGUUGAUUUAUUCAAUAGAGUAUUCUCAAUUAAUUUGGCUAGAUUUCUACAUGAUUCAAAAUCUAAAAAAGUAGAAAUGCAUGCUUACAUGUCUAAGGCCUGAAAAAUUGGUAGUGACAUCCCAAAA